Molecule: transfer RNA, 71 nt
Filed under: Macrohaltica subplicata
Lineage: Eukaryota; Metazoa; Arthropoda; Insecta; Coleoptera; Chrysomelidae
Description: tRNA-Lys
Source: RNAcentral
CAUUAGAUGGCAGAAAGUUUGCAAUGGAAUUUUAAAUCAUUAUAUAAUAAAUUAACGAUUAUUUCUAAUGG